UUUUAGUGGCGGACGGGUGAGUAACGCGUGGGUAACCUGCCUCACGACUGGGGAUAACACUUAGAAAUAGGUGCUAAUACCGCAUAAGCGCACGGGACUGCAUGGUCUUGUGUGAAAAACUCCGGUGGUGUGAGAUGGACCCGCGUCUGAUUAGCUGGUUGGCGGGGUAACGGCCCACCAAGGCGACGAUCAGUAGCCGGCCUGAGAGGGUGGACGGCCACAUUGGGACUGAGACACGGCCCAAACUCCUACGGAAGGCAGCAG
RNAcentral lists this ribosomal RNA (264 nucleotides) under uncultured bacterium. RNAcentral describes it as "partial 16S ribosomal RNA". It matches the Rfam family "Bacterial small subunit ribosomal RNA", at positions 90 to 354 of the family's 1533-position model. The record is from RNAcentral.